GUGAGGUAACGGCUCACCAAGGCGACGACGGGUAGCUGGUCUGAGAGGACGAUCAGCCACACUGGAACUGAGACACGGUCCAGACUCCUACGGGAGGCAGCAGGAGGGAAUAUUGCGCAAUGGGCGAAAGCCUGACGCAGCAACGCCGCGUGAGGGAUGACUGCCUUCGGGUUGUAAACCUCUUUCAGUGGGGACGAAAUUGACGGUACCCACAGAAGAAGCACCGGCCAACUACGUGCCAGCAGCCGCGGUAAUACGUAGGGUGCAAGCAUUGUCCGGAUUUAUUGGGCGUAAAGAGCCCGUAGGCGGCUUAACAAGUCGGCCGUGAAAUACCGAGGCUCAACCUCGGGGAGUCGGUCGAAACUGUUAUAGCUAGAGUACGGUAGAGGAGAGUGGAAUUCUCGGUGUAGCGGUGGAAUGCGCAGAUAUCGAGAGGAACACCAGUAGCGAAGGCGGCUCUCUGGGCCGUUACUGACGCUGAGGAGCGAAAGCGUGGGGAGCAAGCAGGAUUAGAUACCCUGGUAGUCCACGCUGUAAACGUUGGGGACUAGGUGUUGCGGUCUGAUCAAUGACUGCGGUGCCGAAGCUAACGCAUUAAGUU
This 601-nucleotide ribosomal RNA is filed under the name uncultured Actinomycetes bacterium. Its description in RNAcentral is "bacterial SSU rRNA". It matches the Rfam family "Bacterial small subunit ribosomal RNA", at positions 252 to 866 of the family's 1533-position model. Lineage: Bacteria; Bacillati; Actinomycetota; Actinomycetes. The record is from RNAcentral.